This is a long non-coding RNA of Nelumbo nucifera (sacred lotus), 1299 nucleotides long. RefSeq lists it as uncharacterized. NCBI's taxonomy places the organism in Eukaryota, Viridiplantae, Streptophyta, Magnoliopsida, Proteales, Nelumbonaceae. The record is from RefSeq and is a predicted model, not a curated record.
CGUUAUUAGACCUGCCCCUCCGCCUCUCAUCUCUCUCCCCUUCUUUCUCCGUUUGGUUUCAAUUAAUAAAAACGUAUGGUAAAGGCGGUUUUCUUCUCCACGAAGCUACGAACAGAGAGGGUCUUAUUGUUCUCGACGGAACGAAUGUAGCGGAGACCCAUCGCCAUUACAAGGAGCGAUCACCCCAUUUCUCUCUCUCUCUCUCCACCUUUGUCUCCUCUCACCGUCGAUUUCUCUCUCUGUCUCUCCUCCCUUUUUUUCUCUACACAGUUCGCAAAAGCUAUUCUCCUUGGCCAUUUAUCUAACAGUUGGCAUUGUGAGUCCCUUCAACGGUGUUUCGUAGAUUUUGGUAAGAAUAUGGGAGAUGGGAUGUCACUCGAUGUUUUGCCUGCAUCCACGACAACUUGGAAACCAUUGACAAACAUGAUUGCCACCGGACAUGGGCCCUAUCGCGUAAGUGGACAGGGGCAAAGACACAAAGAGCGACCGUUGGGUUCCUUUUGGAAUGUCUAGUAGUGGUUGAUGGCGCAUUGUGGCACGAACUGACGUCUUGAAGCAGUUGAACCAUCCAUUGCUCCUGAAGCUCAAAGGAGUUCUUUUCACCGAUAAGUCUGUUGGGUUCUUCAUGGAUUACUACCCAAUCAAAACCAGAAAGGUAGAAAACUGCCCAUUUAUCAAAAAUUUUGCUCAACAAGAUCUGGGCUUGGAUUAUUUUCAGGCCUCUUCAAAAAGGAGAUUGAAUAUUGAACUAGAAAGGUAGAAAACUGCCCAUUUAUCAAAAGUUCUUUUCACCAAUAAGUCUCUUGAUUCUGUUGCAAAUCAUUUCAAAUGGCUCAACUGUGAUUGAAGAAGGAAACUGCACCAAGAUAGCCGUCAAUUCGAAGGAUUCAUCACCAGAAACGAAUAUUGAGGACGAGGUCGAGGAUGAAAUUUCUUCCAAGCCCGCUGCAGACAGACUUAAUUUGAAUCACUGUAACCAGGGUUCGAACGAUUAAGCUAGACGGAAAGGAAUGGAGGAGGAUCGCAAUCAAACGGAUGACUAGGAAACACCGUGCCAAGAAACCUUCAUGAUCUAUUUCCACCUCUUCAAGUUUGGGGCUUAAACAAGCCUGCUUGUGUUUUUCAUGUUCUGCAUUCUUUGGGUCAUCAACAAAGAGUAGAAAACUAUAAAUGCUUUUUAAUGCUUUUUCUCUCAGAUCUACUUGAUGUUCCCUGUAAAAGAUGAUCCGCCUCGACAUUUGUAAGACACUUCUUUAACGACAUAAGUCACAGAAAGAAUGGAUUUAAGAUUCACCCCUA